UACGUAGGGCGCAAGCGUUAUCCGGAAUUAUUGGGCGUAAAGAGCUCGUAGGCGGCUUGUCACGUCGGGUGUGAAAGCCCGGGGCUUAACCCCGGGUCUGCAUUCGAUACGGGCUAGCUAGAGUGUGGUAGGGGAGAUCGGAAUUCCUGGUGUAGCGGUGAAAUGCGCAGAUAUCAGGAGGAACACCGGUGGCGAAGGCGGAUCUCUGGGCCAUUACUGACGCUGAGGCGCGAAAGCUAGGGGAGCAAACGGG
This 253-nucleotide ribosomal RNA is filed under the name uncultured bacterium. RNAcentral describes it as "partial 16S ribosomal RNA". It matches the Rfam family "Bacterial small subunit ribosomal RNA", at positions 524 to 776 of the family's 1533-position model. The record is from RNAcentral.